Molecule: ribosomal RNA, 301 nt
Filed under: uncultured bacterium
Lineage: Bacteria
Description: partial 16S ribosomal RNA
Rfam family: Bacterial small subunit ribosomal RNA
Source: RNAcentral
CAGCCGCCGCGGUAAUACAGAGGGUGCGAGCGUUAAUCGGAUUUACUGGGCGUAAAGCGUGCGUAGGCGGCUUCUUAAGUCGGAUGUGAAAUCCCUGAGCUUAACUUAGGAAUUGCAUUCGAUACUGGGAAGCUAGAGUAUGGGAGAGGAUGGUAGAAUUCCAGGUGUAGCGGUGAAAUGCGUAGAGAUCUGGAGGAAUACCGAUGGCGAAGGCAGCCAUCUGGCCUAAUACUGACGCUGAGGUACGAAAGCAUGGGGAGCAAAAAGGAUUAGAUACCCCAGUAGUCCCUGUCUCUUAUAC